UUUUUAUGUAAAAUACAGAUUUUACAACUCCAAAAAGCUGAAAUUAAGGAGCCAUAAGGACUGAAUCGCAAGAAUGGAAGUUGACAUGAAUUAAGUUGAUCCUUUCAAACUGGAGCUGCAGAAAGCAGAGCAGAAGCACAUGGAUUGAUUGAAGCAAGGCAGAGGACGACGCUAAAACCAUUAUUGUGCAGAUACUAAGAGUGGUUGCCUUCUGUCAUCUACAAGGUGUUGUGCACCGUGAUCUGAAACCAGAGAACUUUCUUUUCGCAGCAAGAGACGAGGAUGCCCCAUUGAAGAUCAUAGAUUUUGGCCUAUCUGAUUUCAGCAGGCCAGUUCCUUAGACUCGCAACCUCCUGGAUUGUGUAUAGUCUAGUGAUAUAUCCACUGGCCAUGACUUCUGUGUCCGGAAGUUGUUUGAAGCAAAUAAAGGAAAUAUACCAUGGAAUAAAGGCAGGAAACAUACUACAGACAUUUAUAGAAACACUACGGAAGAUCAGAGAGAAGGCUAGGCUUGCAAUGCAGAAUCCUAAGGUGAUGAUGUCAUGACUAAACAAUAUGUUAUUGGCAUAUGAGGAUAAAGCAGCCUAUGCAUUAUGUGUUUUCUCACUUGCUCUUGGACCAAACGACGAGCCAAUUAGGAGAGACACCGGUAUCCAUUUUGAUAUACACUUUUUAGUGUGUUAAAAGACUCUUUUUCAUGUUUAUACAUGCGGGACUGACUAAUGCCUUAACAUUUUAGGCUGAAAUGCUUAAGGAAGAAAAGCACAAGAUUUCUCAACGCUCUAGGCCUCUUGUAUUGGACAAAGAUCAUAUUGCUGAAACUUAUUGCUGCACUGUUAUUACUGUUAGCUUAGUUGAUCAUAUUUUGCAAGAUCUUACUGUUAGCUUAGUUGAUUAUAUCUGCGCGAUGAUCAUUUGUAUUGAUUGUUGUAAAGUAUCGAUAAUUUGUUGAUGCAGGUGAUGUAUGUUUUGGUUUUUAUAUUUGGUUUCUGCAACUUGGACACUUUGUAUUUUUAAUUGCUUAAAAAGCUUUAGAAUAUAAUUUAUUGUGAUAUCUCGAUCGAGAUGUUUGUUAAUGAUUUUGAACUCUGCUCCUAAUCAAGGAUUAGAUCGACCUACCUUUACAGAAAAUUCUUGUGGCAUUAGUAUAAAUUUCAAUUAUAUUAAUGUCACAAGAAAUUUUUAACAAAUAUUUGAUAUUUUUUUUCUUUUAACUUACUUUAUUCCGAUUUUCCCAUGCUUCUUAU
This is a long non-coding RNA of Daucus carota subsp. sativus, 1247 nucleotides long. RefSeq lists it as uncharacterized. The record is from RefSeq and is a predicted model, not a curated record. The transcript has 5 exons. Lineage: Eukaryota; Viridiplantae; Streptophyta; Magnoliopsida; Apiales; Apiaceae.